RNAcentral lists this ribosomal RNA (253 nucleotides) under uncultured bacterium. Its description in RNAcentral is "partial 16S ribosomal RNA". It matches the Rfam family "Bacterial small subunit ribosomal RNA", at positions 524 to 776 of the family's 1533-position model. The record is from RNAcentral.
UACGUAGGGUGCGAGCGUUGUCCGGAAUUAUUGGGCGUAAAGGGCUCGUAGGCGGUUUGUCGCGUCGGGAGUGAAAUCCACUGGCUUAACUGGUGGCUUGCUUUCGAUACGGGCAGACUGGAGGUAUGCAGGGGAGAACGGAAUUUCUGGUGUAGCGGUGAAAUGCGCAGAUAUCAGGAGGAACACCGGUGGCGAAGGCGGUUCUCUGGGCAUGUCCUGACGCUGAGGAGCGAAAGUGUGGGGAGCGAACAGG